AGUGAACGCUGGCGGUAGGCCUAACACAUGCAAGUCGAACGGCAGCACAGUAAGAGCUUGCUCUUACGGGUGGCGAGUGGCGGACGGGUGAGGAAUACAUCGGAAUCUACUUUUUCGUGGGGGAUAACGUAGGGAAACUUACGCUAAUACCGCAUACGACCUACGGGUGAAAGCAGGGGAUCUUCGGACCUUGCGCGAUUGAAUGAGCCGAUGUCGGAUUAGCUAGUUGGCGGGGUAAAGGCCCACCAAGGCGACGAACCGUAGCUGGUCUGAGAGGAUGAUCAGCCACCCUGGAACUGAGACACGGUCCAGACUCCUACGGGAGGCAGCAGUGGGGAAUAUUGGACAAUGGGCGCAAGCCUGAUCCAGCCAUACCGCGUGGGUGAAGAAGGCCUUCGGGUUGUAAAGCCCUUUUGUUGGGAAAGAAAAGCAGCAGGUUAAUACCCCGCUGUUCUGACGGUACCCAAAGAAUAAGCACCGGCUAACUUCGUG
This 492-nucleotide ribosomal RNA is filed under the name uncultured bacterium. Its description in RNAcentral is "partial 16S ribosomal RNA". It matches the Rfam family "Bacterial small subunit ribosomal RNA", at positions 29 to 507 of the family's 1533-position model. The record is from RNAcentral.